CUGACUUCCAGCAACAUGAAAAGGCUUUGCUGAAAUAGCUGGAGAAUGGGUCCCUGUCUCCUGCCACUUACUCGCCCUGCUCCUGGUGUACGGCACACCGCAUGUGCUAAAGUGGAUUUCUCAUCCUGCUCCAAGUUAGCCAAGAGCAUCUGUACAACCACUGGGAAGUCAACUUCACUUCAGAUCUCGCCUGCACCUCUCCACCUUAUGGUCUGCCCAGGAGCUAAUGGAUUUGGAGAUGUAGCAGACCUGGAGCUAACUCUAUCCUGCCGCUUAUUAGUGAGGCAGUCUUGGGCAGAGAGAACACUGACUCAGUUGAAAGUGCUCAGAAAGUCUUGACCUCAUAGAAUUCUUGCAAGUAUUAAAUGAGAAAAUGAAUAUAAAAGACUCAGCAGAGCACGUGACAUAAAAUAAGGACUAAAGAAAGAGAGGAUGUUGUUGCUACAAAUAUUACUACCUCCAGUUGUCAAAAUCCUUUCAUCAUGCCAAAAGUUAAUCCAAAUGCAACCUCCAAGGUUAUUGUAUUUGGAAGCGCUCUUUCCCCUCUGAACUGUAGAGCUAAAUUGCAUAGAGGGGAUUUCUC
RNAcentral lists this long non-coding RNA (583 nucleotides) under Homo sapiens (human). RNAcentral's name for it is "non-protein coding lnc-RGMA-9:1". Lineage: Eukaryota; Metazoa; Chordata; Mammalia; Primates; Hominidae. The record is from RNAcentral.